Molecule: transfer RNA, 64 nt
Filed under: pig gut metagenome
Rfam family: tRNA
About the family: Transfer RNA (tRNA) molecules are approximately 80 nucleotides in length. Their secondary structure includes four short double-helical elements and three loops (D, anti-codon, and T loops).
Source: RNAcentral
UCGUAGCUCAGUUGGUAGAGCAUCGGACUGAAAAUCCGUGUGUCGUUGGUUCAAGUCCAAUCGA